GGGAAUACCAGGGGUGGGCACUGUCAAGAGACCCAGCUUUGACUUCAAAUGCCACCCAGAGGGACAACUGCUCACUUUCAGAGCAGGAGCAGGAGGCCAGAGGAGAGUGGGUCCCUAUGAUCCAGACCUCAAGAGAGGGUUCCUGGACCUCCCACAGAAAGGGAUUCAAGACCAGCUGAAACUGAUUAGAGCCAAGAUAGCCAACCAAAUGACUUCAGGAAGACCUCAGGCUUCAUUAUCAUCUCAUUUCCAUGCUAAAAAAACCCAGCUCCCUAGAACAAUGGGAAAUAUUGGGCACUUCAUCAGGCGAGUUCAGGUGCAUUUCUAGAGAUUGUCCAGGUGCUGGUAACAAUAAUAGAGAACCAUCCAUAUCCACAAGAGGCAGAACCUCUUCCAGCAAAAUGGUGCUGCCUCACCCAAAGGUGGCCGAGGAGGCCGUCGGAGGACCACAAAGCUGCAAGUGGCUUUCCUGCGGCCUGCAGGGAACAGGUGGAGGACACUUGGAAGGGCACCCACCCCGGGUCUCACAGGAGUCUGCACCCGCAGGUCACACUGGCAUUAGCCCCUCAUCCUCUGGAGUUCAUCUCAUCCAGGCGAAGACAGCUGGCUGGCCUCAGAGGGUCUCAUCCGCUGAGCAGUGCCUCCUCCCGAUUCAGCACGUCCCUGGUGCCGACUUUCUGCACGUGUUCACUUUGAGGCUGCAUUGUGGGCCUGCAAGAAAUGCAAAGCUGGUUGAGGCUUUAUUCAAUUCAAAUUCAAGCUGUUAAAUCGAGGCUCUCAGACUCCUGCUGCCUGGCCAGUGGAGAAAUUAACUUUCACAUAUGGCUUUGGGAUUUCUCUCUGUCAUCCUGGUCGACGUGUUCUCUCAUUUUUCUGAAGUCUGGGACCUCAACACAGACAUCUGGGUGAAGGCCUUGACAGCAGCGCUGGUGCAAAAUGAAUUGUCACAUCACACCCAACGUUCUCAACCUUUAGAAUCUGAAAGUAAGAAAAACACCUCAAACAAAACAUUAAAGAUUGAAUAAUUGAAGGCACUAUGCUUGGUGCUGAAGAAGGUCUAAGGAGGUCUACACCACAGAGGCUGCACCCACUCCUCAGCCUUGCUGAGCCACACCAUUCUCAUCUCUACAGCAUCCACCUCUCUUGGCUCUUGUAAGGAUUGAGACAUGCCACCAGGCUUACUAUUGAUUCUGAGUAAUCAGCACAGAUUUCUAAAAGAAACUUUAUGGGAUGCUGAGACAUGAAUAAAAACAACUUUAUUCCUUUGGAAAGGACAACCCACAUGCUAAGAAGAUGACACUACACGUUGUUAUAGCCCGAAAGGCCCUCUUUCCACAGGGGAGCAGUGAAAAGUAGAGGUUGCCCAUGUGGAUUCCCAAGUCAGAUAGAUGUGGAUUCAGAUCCCAGCUCUGCUGCUUGCUACCCAAGAGACCAUGGACUGUGGACUCUUUAGGUCUCAGGGUUUUUGUUUGUUGUCUGUUUUUCACUUCCAAAACCAGAAAAUGAGAAGAUAUUUUCCAUAAGAUGGCGGUGGAGAAGAGAACUUGAUGGACCUUGCUUGGACAAAAUGCCUUCACCGCUAACUCAGUCAGCUAUGGCGAUGGGUCAAGGACCUGGUGGUUUUACAGAGAAGACCCUUGGUCAAAUCUUUGUGAAUGAAGCAACCAUUCUGAUGUUCAAUAACAGG
RNAcentral lists this long non-coding RNA (1687 nucleotides) under Homo sapiens (human). Its description in RNAcentral is "non-protein coding LINC02347:16". The record is from RNAcentral. Lineage: Eukaryota; Metazoa; Chordata; Mammalia; Primates; Hominidae.